This 519-nucleotide ribosomal RNA is filed under the name uncultured eukaryote. Its description in RNAcentral is "SSU rRNA". It matches the Rfam family "Eukaryotic small subunit ribosomal RNA", at positions 1161 to 1704 of the family's 1831-position model. The record is from RNAcentral.
AGGGCACCACCAGGAGUGGAGCCUGCGGCUUAAUUUGACUCCACACGGGAAAACUCACCCGGCCCGGACACCGUAAGGAUUGACAGAUUGAGAGCUCUUUCUUGAUUCGGUGGGUGGUGGUGCAUGGCCGUUCUUAGUUGGUGGAGCGAUUUGUCUGGUUAAUUCCGAUAACGAACGAGACUCUAGCCUGCUAAAUAGGCAGUGGAUUAUUCGUCCACUGUACUUCUUAGAGGGACAAGCAGCGUCUAGCUGCACGAGAUUGAGCAAUAACAGGUCUGUGAUGCCCUUAGAUGUUCGGGGCUGCACGCGCGCUACACUGAAGGAAUCAACAUGCUUCUCAACCUUGGCCGGAAGGUCUAGGUAACCCGUUGAAACUCCUUCGUGAUUGGGAUAGGGAAUUGCAAUUAUUUCCCUUGAACGAGGAAUUCCCAGUAAGUGCGGGUCAUCAGCUCGCGCUGAUUACGUCCCUGCCCUUUGUACACACCGCCCGUCGCUACUACCGAUUGGAGGUAGAGCAGA